Molecule: ribosomal RNA, 425 nt
Filed under: uncultured bacterium
Lineage: Bacteria
Description: partial 16S ribosomal RNA
Rfam family: Bacterial small subunit ribosomal RNA
Source: RNAcentral
GUGGGGAAUCUUGCGCAAUGGGCGAAAGCCUGACGCAGCCAUGCCGCGUGAAUGAUGAAGGUCUUAGGAUUGUAAAAUUCUUUCACCGGGGACGAUAAUGACGGUACCCGGAGAAGAAGCUCCGGCUAACUUCAUGCCAGCAGCCGCGGUAAUACGAAGGGGGCUAGCGUUGCUCGGAAUUACUGGGCGUAAAGGGCGCGUAGGCGGACAGCUUAGUCAGAGGUGAAAGCCCAGGGCUCAACCUUGGAAUUGCCUUUGAUACUGGCUGUCUUGAGUUUGGGAGAGGUGAGUGGAACUCCGAGUGUAGAGGUGAAAUUCGUAGAUAUUCGGAAGAACACCAGUGGCGAAGGCGACUCACUGGCCCAAUACUGACGCUGAGGCGCGAAAGCGUGGGGAGCAAACAGGAUUAGAAACCCUAGUAGUCC